AACCAUAGAAACCUGCGGAGUACCUGCGGAGGGAUCAUUAACGUGCCCGCGAGGCCGGUGGUCGUCCCGCGGCCGCCGGUUCUUGCAUCCGGCCCAUCCUUGUCUAUCUUACCUGUUGCUUCGGCGGGCCUGCGGGCGGUGUCUGACGCCGUCCGCUGCCGGGAGGGUUCUUCCCUCCGGGCUCGCGUCCGCCGAAGGUCACCUGAAACCCUGUUGUAAAUCUGGCAGUCUCAGCGAACG
This 240-nucleotide unclassified non-coding RNA is filed under the name soil metagenome. RNAcentral describes it as "partial contains 5.8S ribosomal RNA, internal transcribed spacer 2, and large subunit ribosomal RNA". The record is from RNAcentral.